UACGUAGGGUGCAAGCGUUGUCCGGAAUUAUUGGGCGUAAAGAGCUCGUAGGCGGUCUGUCGCGUCGGCUGUGAAAACUCGGGGCUCAACUCCGAGCUUGCAGUCGAUACGGGCAGGCUAGAGUUCGGCAGGGGAGACUGGAAUUCCUGGUGUAGCGGUGAAAUGCGCAGAUAUCAGGAGGAGCACCAAUGGCGAAGGCAGCUCGCUGGGACGGUACUGACGCUGAGACGCGAAAGCGUGGGGAGCAAACAGG
This 253-nucleotide ribosomal RNA is filed under the name uncultured bacterium. Its description in RNAcentral is "partial 16S ribosomal RNA". It matches the Rfam family "Bacterial small subunit ribosomal RNA", at positions 524 to 776 of the family's 1533-position model. The record is from RNAcentral.